This 73-nucleotide transfer RNA is filed under the name Apaloderma vittatum (bar-tailed trogon). It matches the Rfam family "tRNA". From Rfam's summary of the family: Transfer RNA (tRNA) molecules are approximately 80 nucleotides in length. Their secondary structure includes four short double-helical elements and three loops (D, anti-codon, and T loops). Lineage: Eukaryota; Metazoa; Chordata; Aves; Trogoniformes; Trogonidae. The record is from Rfam by way of RNAcentral.
GGCUGGUUAGCUCAGCUGGUUAGAGCGUGGUGCUGAUAACACCAAGGUCACGGGUUCAAUCCUCGUUCGGUCC